CGUGUCUGCACAGCUUUUCUCCCUGGAUGGAAGCCGAGUGCCUCUGGCCUGGAGCCUGUCCCUCAACCUGUCCCUCCACCAGGGAAAGCUGCAAAAGGGAGUCUGUGGCCUUUCCAUCCUGGGUCUGUGGGAGUUCAUCAGAGCAGAGGGUGGACUCCUGACCCAGCCUGUCCUCAUGGGAGUGCUGCAAGCUGACACCUAAGAGAGAACUGCCUGAUUCCUAGGGUGACCUACCCUGUCAACAUAGGAGGGUGUCUCUGUUGCAAAGGCCUGGGACGAGGUGGCCGGCAGAGCUUCAGAGAGCCAUUCUGGGCAAGAAGGUGGCUGCCUACAAGCCAGGAAGAGAGCCGUCACCAGAACCUGACAGUGCUGGUCCCUUGAUCCUGGACUUCCAGCCUCCAGAGCUGUGAGAAAUAAGCCACUCAGUCUAUGAUAUUUUGUUAUGGCAGCUCGAGCAGAUGAAUACAGAUGUUAAGAAGCUCAGAACGCACAGUAAAGGGUGAUACUACUUGUCCAGGUAAGAGAGGUGUCCCAGCCUACAGCCAAGCUGGAUGGACCAAUGCUGAGCCUUGCCUUGAGGCACUGGAAGGGUGCUCCACAGGAAUCAGGAGCUGAGAAGCGCAGAACUGCAAAAUGGCCCCUAGCCCCUGCUUUUUCUUGGAGGAGCUGCAGCUACCUGACAGCUCUCUGUUCUCACAGGGGUUAGGACCCAGGAGCUGCCCUUCCAUGAUCACAGCUGGCCCAGGCUUCUGCUGACAGGCGAGGCUGGGCCGGCGUGCCAGCAGAACCUCUUAUCUCCUUCAUGUGGAGUGAGUGGAAGGCAGGGGACCUUUCUUGACACUUGGAAGAGACAAAGACCAGCUCUACCAUGACUGACCACGAGACCCUGGAUAAAUCACUGACUCAUUCCUGUCCUCAGUCUCUCCAGCUGUAGAUGGGAUGGCAAUGUCUACCUCUGCGGACUUUUGGAAGGAUCAGUUGCAUGUUAGUCUAAGUGGAACUGAUGCUCAGCUGGUACACAGUGCUAUGACCGCUCUGCCUCCCGUUGUCAGGGGCUGGAGUCCCUUCUGGCUGGCAGCUGCCUGCACCUCGUCAGGGAUUAAACCAUUUUACUCUACCCCUUGGAACUAAAUCAAGUAUUCUUAAGCUCCAAUUACCUGCUACCAACCAGCCCACCUGGUAAAUACAUUUCUAUGGGGCUGGCCUCCCGUGCUGAGCUUUUACUUCUCUGUAACAGGGAGGUGUGGAUUCUCGAGUGCCUCCCUGUGAGGGAGACAUUUGGUCACCUGGAGCCUCUGGCCAGUAGUCUGUUUUAAGCAGCACCAUUGUUCCUGCUAUUCUCCCCUUUCCAGAAUGCCUAGUGGGAAGCCUGCACACUUCCCCCACCUCUUAUUCCUGACCAUAGUCUGAGAGCUCUGGGAGGGAAUGAGGGACUGGGGGACAGUCAAGCAAGGGGAGAGAGCCAGCAGGGACAGCCUCUUCAAGUGACCUUCCCAGAUUUGUUUUGAAAGUAUCAUUCAGUCUUACAUCUACUCACGAUGCUAUAUUUAUCUAUGAAAGAGGCAGGAUAUUUUUGAGCGGAUGUAAUUUCUGGCUCUCUCCCUUCAAGAAAAAAAAAAGUGUCAUUCCUAUUCAUUUCUUCCUGCCUCUGCUUCUGUCUCUCACACAUUUCUUUUGUAUAAACAUACCCCCCACACAUGCACACACACGCACAUACACAUACACACAUCCGUGCACACACAUAGAGGCAGGCACAUGGUCCAAGAGCUAAAAUUCCGUGACUCUCUAUGGCUGAUUCAGACUUAUCUAGCAUGGUGGAUAGAAAGGCAGAUAGACAGGAGGAACAGGAGAAACAAAGAGGAAACUGUGAGUUUGUUCAUUUAUAUUUUUGCCUCCAAGUUCACUGAACACUUAAUGUUACGGGAAAUUGGAUGAGGGCAAGAGAAAGCUCUGAGAGACACCUGCCAGGGUAGCAGCUGGGUGAACCAGGUCAGAAAGAGCACUUUUCUCUCUACCUUCCACGAAGUCACAGAGAGCAGAGGAACCCCAUUUGCAGGUGACCCAAAGCUGAGACCUGGGGUAAGGGAAGUCUGAAGCAAGAUUCAGGAUUUUUAGGGCAAGCCUGAGGAAGAGUAAGAUGAACUGUUACCAGGAUGAGCAUCUUUCAUUCUGCAUUUAAAUUAAAUUACCAACACAAAUGCCUCAAGUGUGGGUUGGAGGAUUCCUACCUACAGGGUGAGCAGGUGCCUCCUGUGUGAUCUGGGCGCUGGGACUGUCAGAGCUGCAAAGGUCUCCAGGCAGUAAAUCAGAAAGGGAGGAGGUGGGGGAGCACUUGGCUCCAGGUCUCUUUAGCUGAGUCACAGACAGAUGCUGGGUUCAGGUAUCAAAUAAUUGAAGAGAGAGAGAAAAAUGACCAAAUCUAGAGAAAGGACCAAAUUUGAGACCCAGAGAACAUCAGCAGAAGGUGUCUUACAGGCUCAAGAACCAGGGAUUUGGGAAGGGAGAGACAGGGUUGGGAUCUGGUAGAAAGGGGACAAGAGUUGACCUAAGGGACUCAAACCUAAGGUAAUUUCCUAGUGGAACUUGGGCUGUGCUGGGGGCUGCAGAGCCCUGAGCUGCCCCUCCCAAGACAGCAGUUCCAGCGGCUUUUGGAGAAUAGGACAUUACUUAGUGUAUGGAUGAGUGGGUAAAUGCUUGCUUGAGUUCGGGGUGGGGACCCUUCCUGGAGGGGCCACCAGGUCACAGAGGAAGCCAGACAGUGUGGGAGUCCCUGGGGAUAGCACCCUCCAUACCAAGGUUUACAGCUAUGGGGGGCAGGAACCAUCACUAGAGUCAGAAGCUCUAGGCCUGUCGCUGACUCGCUGGAGGACCGUGUGCAGCUCAUCAAACCUCUCUGAGCCUCAAUUUCUUCAUCUGUUACAGGAGAGUGGUGAUAAUAUUGCAGAGGGCUUUGUGAGGAUUGAAUGAGCUGGGCCAUGGAAAAGGACUUUUAAAAAGCGCUUUCUAAAUGGUAAAGCACAAUACAAGUGUUGUUUUACUUUUCUCUAAGAAAAGGCAGAGGGCUUCUAUGGAAAGAACAUGGGCUUUGAAAAUUGACAGGUGGAAUCCUGGUUAUAUCCCCUGUAAGCUGUGUGGCCAUGGGGAAGUUCUAGAACAUAAGUAGAUAGGUGUAUAGCCAUCCCUUCCACCCACUGUUUCUUAACAAUUAAAGUAUAAUUUACAUACAGUAAUUCAUUCUUUUUAGUAUACAGUACUGUGAGUUUUGACAAAUAAAUACAUUGGUGUAACCUGCAUCACAAUCAAGAUACAAGCCGAAUGGUCCCAAGAUUCUAAACACUUCCCCCAUCUGCUCUGUAUUGAUCUCCAUACAUCCAGCUACUGGCAAUCACUUAACCAGUUUUUUGCUCCUAUAGUUUGCCUUUUCCAGAAUGUCAUAUGAAUGGAAGCAUGCAGUAUUUUGCCUUUCAAGUCUGGCUUUUCUCACUGAGCAUAAUAAUGCUUUUGAGAUUCAUCCCUGUGGCAGUAUGUGUCAGUAGUCACUCCUUUAUAUUGCCAAAUAGUACUCUAUGAACGUACUACAGUUUAUCAAUUGCCCAGCUGAGGGACAGCUGGGUUGUUUCCUGUUUGGGGCCAUUGUGAGUAUAACUGCAGUAAACACGCAGAUUUCUAUGUGAACCUGUUUUCCCCUACGGUAAAUCCUAGGAAUAGAAUAACUGGGCUGUAUGUUAGAUGUUUGUUUAUAAGAAACUGGUAAAGUCUUUUCCAAUGUGGCUCUACCCUGUUUCAUUCCCGCCAGCACUGAAUGAGUAUUCCAAUUGUUUCUCUGUGGGUGGCAAGCCAUCCAGGUGCUGAGGCAAGAGACCGAGAGCAUGAGCUGUUCCAGUAUAAUAAAAUAUAUAAAACAACAAGAGUUAUACUAGAUCUAGAUCAUAGACAUGAUUAUGUAUGAAUAUCAUUAAUCAUUAGUUUGUAGCAAUUACUCUUUAUUCCAAUAUUAUAAUAAUCCUCGAUCUAUAACCAUAACCUAGGAAAAACCAGGCCAUACAGAGAUAGGAGCUGAGGGGACAUAGUGAGAAGUGAGCAGAAGACAAGAGUGCGAGCCUUCUGUUAUGCCCGGACAGGGCCACCAGAGCGCUCCUUGGUCUAGCGGUAACACCAGCGUCUGGGAAGAUGCCGUUGCCAACAGACUGUGGUCUAGCAGUAGUGUCAGUGUCAAGGAAAAACACCCGCUACUUAGCAGACUGAGAAACGGAGUCUCCCUUUCCCUGGGGGAGUUUAGAGAAGACUCUACUCCUCCACCUCUUGUGGAGGGCCUGACAUGAGUUAGGCCUGCCCACAGUUAUCUGGAGACCUAACCGUCUCCCUGUGAUGCUGUGCUUCAGUGGUCACACUCCUAGUCCGCUUUCAUGUUCCAUCCUGUACACCUGGCUCUGCCUUUUAGAUAACAGUAGCAAAAUAAGUGAAAGUACUAAAAGUCUCUGAUAAGCAGAAAUAAAUGCAUAAGCUGUCUCUCUCUCUCUCCCUCUCUCUCUCUGCCUCAGCUGCCAGGCAGGGAGAGGCCCCCUGUCCAGUGGACACGUGACCUUACCUAUCACUGGAGAUGGCUCACACUCCUUACUUUGUCCCUUGUCUUGUAUCCAAUAAAUAUCAGCACAGCCUGGCAUUCGGGGCCACUACCAGUCUCUGCAUCUUGGUGGUAGUAGUCCCCUGGGCCCAGCUGUCUUUUCUUUUA
Molecule: long non-coding RNA, 4732 nt
Organism: Pan troglodytes (chimpanzee)
Lineage: Eukaryota; Metazoa; Chordata; Mammalia; Primates; Hominidae
Exons: 2
Source: RefSeq, a predicted model, not a curated record